CCGAAUGAGACCACGGCGACCUCGGUCGAUGUGGGAAAAGGUGGCCUCUCCUUGGAAGCUAUCGCCAAAGGAUGAGCCCGCGUUUGAUUAGCUAGUUGGUGAGGUAACGGCUCACCAAGGCGACGAUCAAUAGCUGGUCUGAGAGGAUGAUCAGCCACACUGGAACUGAGAUACGGUCCAGACUCCUACGGGAGGCAGCAGUCAGGAAUAUUGGGCAAUGGGCGAAAGCCUGACCCAGCAACGCCGCGUGAAGGAUGAAGGCCUUCGGGUCGUAAACUUCUGUCGAGAGGGAAGAAUGCGUACGGGUGAACAAUCCGUGCGUUUGACGGUACCUCCAAAGGAAGCACCGGCUAACUCCGUGCCAGCAGCCGCGGUAAUACGGAGGGUGCAAGCGUUGUCCGGAUUCAUUGGGCGUAAAGCGAGUGUAGGCGGUUUGACAAGUCGAAUGUGAAAUCCCAGGGCCCAACCCUGGAACUGCAUCCGAUACUGUCUGGCUAGAGUCCCGGAGAGGGUGGCGGAAUUCCCGGUGUAGGGGUGAAAUCCGUAGAUAUCGGGAGGAACACCAGUGGCGAAGGCGGCCACCUGGACGGUGACUGACGCUGAGACUCGAAAGCGUGGGUAGCAAACAGGAUUAGAUACCCUGGUAGUCCACGCUGUAAACGGUGAGUGCUCGUCGUCGUGGGUAUUGACCCCUGCGGUGACCAAGUUAACACAUGAAGC
RNAcentral lists this ribosomal RNA (720 nucleotides) under uncultured delta proteobacterium. RNAcentral's name for it is "bacterial SSU rRNA". It matches the Rfam family "Bacterial small subunit ribosomal RNA", at positions 169 to 865 of the family's 1533-position model. Lineage: Bacteria; Deltaproteobacteria. The record is from RNAcentral.